This 438-nucleotide ribosomal RNA is filed under the name Triticum aestivum (bread wheat). RNAcentral's name for it is "partial small subunit ribosomal RNA". The record is from RNAcentral. Lineage: Eukaryota; Viridiplantae; Streptophyta; Magnoliopsida; Poales; Poaceae.
AUGACUAGGGAUAACCUUAGGAAGAGACACAUCAUCAAACCCCUUGAUUGUGUUUACUGCUUGGAACAAGAGUCUUGUUCUCACCUAUUUUUUGAAUGUAUAGUUGCUAAACAUCUGUGGGCCCACAUUGAGGAAUAUUUCUCUAGUCAGAUUGGCUCAUCCUUCGAAUCUGUCGCCAGAUUCUGGAUUGCUACCAAAAAGUGCUCAGUUUUAAACAUUGUUAGCUCAGCUAUCCUUUGGUGCCUCUGGAAAUAUAGAAAUGCUAUGAUUUUCAGUAACACCUUCUGGAUUUCCAUUCCGCAGAUCUUGAGGUUGAUCAGGAAUAUGGUGAGGAACUGGGCGAUUCUCUCCUCCGGAUCGGACAAGGACAAGUUGAUGAGCUUCGUGGAAACCCUAACAAGAUCCCUCCAGAAACCGUUGGCGAUCACUUGUGGCUGA